This 579-nucleotide ribosomal RNA is filed under the name Triticum aestivum (bread wheat). RNAcentral's name for it is "partial small subunit ribosomal RNA". The record is from RNAcentral. Lineage: Eukaryota; Viridiplantae; Streptophyta; Magnoliopsida; Poales; Poaceae.
AUGAUGGUGUUCAUUGCAGCACAUUGUGUAUUCAUCUCUCCUAUUUCCAGGAAAGCAUCUGGCACUGGCAGUGCUUUGAAUCCAACAAUAGCUAACUCUGUGACGCCACUAGCCCAAAAAUGCUACACUUACGGGACUGUUCCCAGUCCCUUAGAUCCACUGCAAGCUUCUCCAACUAGAGAACAGGCCAAAGUUGCGGAGUCUGGGAUAGAUCCUGACACAAGGAGAAGGUUUCUCAUAUUACAACAUGGCCAGACUCCUGCACCACCUCUUCCAGCAGUACCUCAUGGAAAUUGGUUCCUUGUGGAGGAUGGCAUGAACUCAAAUAAUCUGAACAGGGGUUCAGCAGGCAUAAUCAGGCCUCUUGAUCAGAUCCCCUCCAUGGAGAAGUACCAGCAACCAGGAUGGCCAUCACCACCACGAUAUAGACAGACAAACAUUGGAAAAUACUGGCAUUCAGAAAAGGAGGAUGAAUACGACGCUGAUUGUGAGGCACUGAGCAAGAUUUCAACUGCAUUCCACGACCAAAAGGGCAAUCACAGGUUAAAUGCAAACGGCACCACAUCUUAUGGAGAAUAG